AGGACGAACGCUGGCGGCGUGCUUAACACAUGCAAGUCGAGCGGUAAGGCUCCUUCGGGAGUACACGAGCGGCGAACGGGUGAGUAACACGUGAGCAAUCUGCCCUUCACAUCGGGAUAACCCCCGGAAACGGGAGCUAAUACCGGAUACGACCACUUCAGGCAUCUGAUGGUGGUGGAAAGUUCUGGCGGUGAAGGAUGAGCUCGCGGCCUAUCAGUCUUGUGGUGGGUAAUCGGCCCACCAAGGCUUCGACGGGUAGCCGGCUGAGAGGGUCGACCGGCCACACGUGGGACUGAGACACGGCCAGACUCGUACGGAGCAGCAGGUGGGAAUAGUGGAACAAGUGGGACGAAAGCCUAGAUCCAGCAACGCGACGUGGAGGAUGGACGGCCGUUCGGGUUACGUAAACCGUUCUUUCGACGCGACGAGACGGAAAGACGAAAGU
Molecule: ribosomal RNA, 445 nt
Filed under: uncultured soil bacterium
Lineage: Bacteria
Description: bacterial SSU rRNA
Rfam family: Bacterial small subunit ribosomal RNA
Source: RNAcentral